This 398-nucleotide ribosomal RNA is filed under the name uncultured bacterium. Its description in RNAcentral is "bacterial SSU rRNA". It matches the Rfam family "Bacterial small subunit ribosomal RNA", at positions 30 to 428 of the family's 1533-position model. The record is from RNAcentral.
AUUGAACGCUGGCGGCAUGCCUUACACAUGCAAGUCGAACGGCAGCGGACCUUCGGGUGCCGGCGAGUGGCGAACGGGUGAGUAAAGUAUCGGAACGUACCUUUCAGUGGGGGAUAACGUAGCGAAAGUUACGCUAAUACCGCAUAUUCUGUGAGCAGGAAAGCAGGGGAUCGCAAGACCUUGCGCUGAUUGAGCGGCCGAUAUCAGAUUAGCUAGUUGGUGAGGUAAAGGCUCACCAAGGCGACGAUCUGUAGCGGGUCUGAGAGGAUGAUCCGCCACACUGGAACUGAGACACGGUCCAGACUCCUACGGGAGGCAGCAGUGGGGAAUUUUGGGACAAUGGGGGGCAACCCGUGAUCCAGCCAUGCCGCGUGAGUGAAGAAGGACCCUGGUUGUAA